This 220-nucleotide ribosomal RNA is filed under the name Blastocystis sp. RNAcentral's name for it is "partial small subunit ribosomal RNA". It matches the Rfam family "Eukaryotic small subunit ribosomal RNA", at positions 41 to 287 of the family's 1831-position model. Lineage: Eukaryota; Bigyra; Opalinata; Blastocystidae. The record is from RNAcentral.
GGAUUAAGCCAUGCAUGUGUAAGUCUAAAUAGUUUUAGUGUGAAACUGCGAAUGGCUCAUUAUAUCAGUUAUAGUUUAUUUGGAUGAAUUUUUCUAUGGAUAACCGUAGUAAUUCUAGGGCUAAUACAUGUUAUAAUCUCUUUGAGAUUUUCUUAUUAGAAUAAAACCAAUUGUAUUAGUGAGUAAUAAUAAUAGAAUCGAUCGCAUGCUUUUGUAGCGA